GUCCGUUUCGCUGACCUUGGUCUAUGUGCAUGUUUUGGUGAUUGUGAUGAGUUUGUAGAUCUUAAUUUACUGAACAUUCUUGCUGCUUACAAUUAUCUCUAUCCAUAAUGAACUUGGCCCAGUUGUUUUAAAGGAAAUUUGCAAAAUUUACGAAAAUUGUUAAAUAUUGUUUAUAAAGCCAUUAAAGGGCAAUAAGUCUUUAAGGGGUCAAAAGACCAGUUAAGUCAUGUUCACUUAUUUUUAGAUCUUACUUUGCUGUACAUUAUUGCUGUUUACAGUCUAUCUCUAUCUAUAAUAAUAUUAAAGAUAAUAACCAAAAAUGCAAAAUUUUCUAACAAUUCCCAAUUCAGGCGUAGCAAUCCAAUAAACGGUUGAUUGAUUUGUCUGAAAAUUUUAAGGGUAGAUUUAUCGUCACCAAAUGAACAAUUUGACUGUCAGAUUUGCUCUAAAUGCUUUGGUUUUUGAGUUAUGAGCCAAAAACUGUAUUUUACCCCUAUGUUCUAUUUUUAGCCAUUUCGGUCAUCUUCGUAAGCGGGCGGGGUCAUCGGACAUAUUUUCAAACUAGAUACCCUACACAUGAUCGUGGCCAAGAUUGGUUAAAUUUGUCUAAGUAGUUUCAGAGGAGAAUAUUUUUGUAAAAGAUUACAAAAAAUUACAUAAAAUUGUUAAAAUUUUACUAUAAAGGGCAAUAACUCCUUGUAGGGUCAACUGAUAAUUUUGGUCAUGUUUGACUUAUUUGUAGACCUUACUUUGCUGAACAUUAUUGCUGUUUACAGUUUAUAUCUAUAUAUAAUAAUAUUCAAGAUAAUAACCCAAAACUGCAACUUUUCCUUAAAAUUACCAAUUAUGGGGCAGCAACCCAACAACUUGUUGUCUGAUUCAUUAGAAAAAAAAUCAGGACAGAAAGAUCUUGGCCUGAUUAACAUAUUUACCCCAUGUCAGAUUUUCUCUAAAUGCUUUGGUUUCAGAGAUAUAAGCCAAAAACUACAUUUUACGCCUAUGUUCUAUUUUUAGCCAUGUCGGCCAUCUUUGUUAGCGGGCGGGGUCAUCAAACACAUUUUUUAAACUAGAUACCCUAGUAAUGAUUGUGGUCUAGUUUCAGAAGAUUUUUAUAAAAGUUAACGGACGACGGAUAACGGACAUCGGACGCCAAGUGAUGAAAAAAGCUCAUUUGGCCCUUUGGGCCAGGUGAGCUUAUAAUAAAGUAGUAAAAUGCAUGACAGUGUUCAAAGCUUAAAAUUCAGUGUUCCCAUUUCCUGUUUUCACUUUUCUAUUAACC
RNAcentral lists this long non-coding RNA (1279 nucleotides) under Mytilus galloprovincialis (Mediterranean mussel). Lineage: Eukaryota; Metazoa; Mollusca; Bivalvia; Mytilida; Mytilidae. The record is from RNAcentral.